RNAcentral lists this transfer RNA (73 nucleotides) under Leucosporidium creatinivorum. RNAcentral's name for it is "Leucosporidiella creatinivora tRNA". It matches the Rfam family "tRNA". Rfam says of the family: Transfer RNA (tRNA) molecules are approximately 80 nucleotides in length. Their secondary structure includes four short double-helical elements and three loops (D, anti-codon, and T loops). Lineage: Eukaryota; Fungi; Basidiomycota; Microbotryomycetes; Leucosporidiales; Leucosporidiaceae. The record is from Rfam by way of RNAcentral.
GCUCCCGUGGUCCAAUGGUCAGGAUACCGACCUUCUAAGUCGGGGAUUGCGAGUUCGAGUCUCGCCGGGAGCU